This is a long non-coding RNA of Perca fluviatilis (European perch), 319 nucleotides long. RefSeq lists it as uncharacterized. NCBI's taxonomy places the organism in Eukaryota, Metazoa, Chordata, Actinopteri, Perciformes, Percidae. The transcript is spliced from 2 exons. The record is from RefSeq and is a predicted model, not a curated record.
GGCACAGCUGAGGCUCAUUCACUGAUUACACACUUGCAGUAUUUAAACCCGGGCUGUUCACCUCUUCAGCGCCAGAUCGUUACAUACAUCGACGUGAUCCUGUUGUACCUGCUCCCCUCCUGCCGUGCUCCGCCGUGCUGCCUGCCUAUCUGCCUCACGCCAUCUCCGUCAUAAUCACCUGCUUUGCCUGUUUACAACUGUGGACCUGCCUCAAAUCCGCCACUGCCUGGUUCCAGUUUUGCUCUUAGACAACUACUAACUCAGCCUCGGCUGUUCCUCUCCACUGCCUAUCGUCAUCCAAUAAACACUUGAACUCUUA